UACGAAGGGGGCUAGCGUUGCUCGGAAUUACUGGGCGUAAAGCGCACGUAGGCGGCUUCUUAAGUCGGGGGUGAAAUCCUGGAGCUCAACUCCAGAACUGCUUUCGAUACUGGGAAGCUCGAGUUCGGGAGAGGUGAGUGGAACUGCGAGUGUAGAGGUGAAAUUCGUAGAUAUUCGCAAGAACACCAGUGGCGAAGGCGGCUCACUGGCCCGAUACUGACGCUGAGGUGCGAAAGCGUGGGGAGCAAACAGG
This 253-nucleotide ribosomal RNA is filed under the name uncultured bacterium. RNAcentral describes it as "partial 16S ribosomal RNA". It matches the Rfam family "Bacterial small subunit ribosomal RNA", at positions 524 to 776 of the family's 1533-position model. The record is from RNAcentral.